Molecule: long non-coding RNA, 561 nt
Organism: Harpia harpyja (harpy eagle)
Lineage: Eukaryota; Metazoa; Chordata; Aves; Accipitriformes; Accipitridae
Exons: 4
Source: RefSeq, a predicted model, not a curated record
GGUGUACGUCACUCUCUGAGCUUUAACAGUGUACUCCCUGCAGCAAGUCAUUUACAGACGACCAACACCUUUCUACUCGCCUCCCAUUUCCCUACUUGACCUCUCUUCAUUAACCCAGCAAUUUGCAAUAGCAUUGGGUGGUGGAUUUAUCACAGGACCUGGUCUUAAGCGGUCUCUGGGGGCAACAGAGCUAAAGGAAAUGAAGGCUCCUAGGAUGCUUAGGGCAUUCACGGUUAAAGGGCAGGAGAAGAGGGAAUUUUAAGAGGCUGGAGUUGUCUGAAUGUAGGUUCUUUGUGCAAGUUUCUUGUAGAUAUGCUACAAUCAUGAGGAGAGAAAUGGCAAGAGACAGCUUUCCCAUCCUGAGACAUCUGCCCAUAGUACAAACCAGUUAAUAUGAACAAAGGUAGAACUGCAGAGGCAAAGGAUUUACCAGGAAAACUAUGUAUGACCUGUUUAUUAGAUGAAACUAUCCAUGGAUUUCAGCUCCAGCUGGAGCACUGGCUACUGUGUACAUGGAUCACAUUAUCCGUGUGGAGCAAUUGGACCUUGACUUUGUACCUG